Molecule: ribosomal RNA, 435 nt
Filed under: uncultured bacterium
Lineage: Bacteria
Description: partial 16S ribosomal RNA
Rfam family: Bacterial small subunit ribosomal RNA
Source: RNAcentral
AACGAACGCUGGCGGCAUGCUUAACACAUGCAAGUCGAACGCCUGUAGCAAUACAGGAGUGGCAGACGGGUGGGUAACGCGUGGGAACGUACCCCAAGGUUCGGAAUAACGAUUGGAAACGAUCGCUAAUACCGGAUAAGCGCGAAAGUGGAAAGGUUUACUGCCUUGGGAGCGGCCCGCGUUAGAUUAGGUAGUUGGUGGGGUAAAGGCCUACCAAGCCUACGAUCUAUAUCUGGUCUGAGAGGAUGAUCAGCCACACUGGGACUGAGACACGGCCCAGACUCUUACGGGAGGCAGCAGUGGGGAAUAUUGGACAAUGGGGGCAACCCUGAUCCAGCAAUGCCGCGUGAGUGAAGAAGGCCUGCGGGUUGUAAAGCUCUUUUAACUACGACGAUAAUGACGGUAGUAGGGGAAUAAGCCCCGGCUAACUUCGUG